This 253-nucleotide ribosomal RNA is filed under the name uncultured bacterium. RNAcentral's name for it is "partial 16S ribosomal RNA". It matches the Rfam family "Bacterial small subunit ribosomal RNA", at positions 524 to 776 of the family's 1533-position model. The record is from RNAcentral.
UACGGGGGGGGCAAGCGUUGUUCGGAAUUACUGGGCGUAAAGGGCUCGUAGGCGGCCACCUAAGUCAGACGUGAAAUCCCUCGGCUUAACCGGGGAACUGCGUCUGAUACUGGAUGGCUUGAAUCCGGGAGAGGGAUGCGGAAUUCCAGGUGUAGCGGUGAAAUGCGUAGAUAUCUGGAGGAACACCGGUGGCGAAGGCGGCAUCCUGGACCGGCAUUGACGCUGAGGAGCGAAAGCCAGGGGAGCAAACGGG